RNAcentral lists this non-coding RNA (31 nucleotides) under Rattus norvegicus (Norway rat). Lineage: Eukaryota; Metazoa; Chordata; Mammalia; Rodentia; Muridae. The record is from RNAcentral.
UGAGUGCAAUCAGUUUUGCUUUCUGGCCUGA